Molecule: ribosomal RNA, 500 nt
Filed under: uncultured bacterium
Lineage: Bacteria
Description: partial 16S ribosomal RNA
Rfam family: Bacterial small subunit ribosomal RNA
Source: RNAcentral
GACGAACGCUGGCGGCGUGCUUAACACAUGCAAGUCGAACGGGUCUGCCCUGUUUUUUGCGGGGUGGGUCAGUGGCGAACGGGUGAGUAACACGUGAGUAACCUGCCCCUCACUUCUGGAUAACCGCUUGAAAGGGUGGCUAAUACGGGGUGUUCUGGCUGUGCCGCAUGGUGUGGCUGGGAAAGAUUCACUUUUGUGGUGUUUUGGUGGGUGAUGGGCUCGCGGCCUAUCAGCUUGUUGGUGGGGUGAUGGCCUGCCAAGGCUUUGACGGGUAGCCGGCCUGAGAGGGUGGGCGGUCAGACUGGGACUGAGAUACGGCCCAGACUGCGGCGGGAGGCAGCAGUGGGGGGUAGUGCACAGUGGGCGGAAGCGUGAUGCAGCGACGUCGCGUGAGGGAUGGAGGCCUGCGGGUUGUGAACCUCUUUCGGCGGUGAAGAAGGUCCUGCUCUUUGGGGGGGGGUUGACGGUAGCCGGGUUAUGAAGCGCCGGCUAACUACGUG